Long non-coding RNA from Magnolia sinica, 638 nucleotides. RefSeq lists it as uncharacterized. Lineage: Eukaryota; Viridiplantae; Streptophyta; Magnoliopsida; Magnoliales; Magnoliaceae. The transcript has 3 exons. The record is from RefSeq and is a predicted model, not a curated record.
GGAACUUCCUGCGAAAGACUUUCGCAGGAAAUCCGCGUCUUCUUCUACCCCCAACAAUAUAAGAACCAAAUCAAAAAAGGGUUUUGCCGAUCAUCCUCUGUUCCGUUCCAGCAAUUCAGGUGUUUGUUUCCUCUGCAGUCUACCGUGCGCAGUUUGAGAGUUAUGGCAGGAAAAUACGUCAUUGGAUCCAUGAUGGUAGCCACUGCCAUUGGAUUUUCGUUGGAUGCAUUGAUCUCUGACAAGAAGUUGUUUGGAGGUACCACCCCAAACACUGUGGCCUCCAAGGAGUGGUGGGAAGAGACAGAUAAGAAGUUUCAGGCGUGGCCCCGCACGGCGGGCCCUCCAGUCGUGAUGAACCCCAUCAGCCGCCAGAAUUUUAUACUCAAGUCCCGUUCUGAAUCUUGAAGGUGUGGUUGCAUUCACCUAUGAGUUUCGAUUUAGUGACCUUGAUUAGCUUUAGCUCUUUUAAGUCAUCUGAUAUUCUUUUUGAGUUCUUUGAUGUUCUUCGAGGAUGGAACUUCUUUUCCUUCAAUUGAGUUGAUUGAUAUGCAGAGAGGAAGACUUUCUGUUUCUGAAUAAGAUGUUCGCAGCAUACACUUAUCAUGAUCUGAAUAAAUCUUGGCCUUUUAAUCUGCUCA